RNAcentral lists this ribosomal RNA (469 nucleotides) under uncultured bacterium. RNAcentral's name for it is "partial 16S ribosomal RNA". It matches the Rfam family "Bacterial small subunit ribosomal RNA", at positions 28 to 507 of the family's 1533-position model. The record is from RNAcentral.
GACGAACGCUGGCGGCGUGCUUAACACAUGCAAGUCGAACGGAAAGGCCCUGCUUGCAGGGUGCUCGAGUGGCGAACGGGUGAGUAACACGUGGGUGAUCUGCCCCUUACUUUGGGAUAAGCCUGGGAAACUGGGUCUAAUACUGGAUAGGACCAUGCUGUAGGUGGUGUGGUGGAAAGAUUAGUUUCGGUAAGGGAUGAGCUCGCGGCCUAUCAGCUUGUUGGUGGGGUAAUGGCCUACCAAGGCGUCGACGGGUAGCCGGCCUGAGAGGGUGGACGGCAACAUGGGGACUGAGAUACGGCCCAGAAUCCUACGGGAGGCAGCAGUGGGGAAUAUUGCACAAUGGGCGCAAGCCUGAUGCAGCGACGCCGCGUGGGGGAUGACGGCCUUCGGGUUGUAAACUCCUUUCAGCCAUGACGAAGCCCUUGUGGUGACGGUAGUGGUAGAAGAAGCACCGGCUAACUACGUG